Symphalangus syndactylus (siamang) is the source of this 317-nucleotide long non-coding RNA. RefSeq lists it as uncharacterized. The record is from RefSeq and is a predicted model, not a curated record. NCBI's taxonomy places the organism in Eukaryota, Metazoa, Chordata, Mammalia, Primates, Hylobatidae.
ACAGAUGACACAGUAAGAAGGCCCUUACCAGAUGCCAGUCCUUUGGUCUUGGACUUCCCAGCCUCCAGAAUGGAUCUGAGUCUUUGUUUUCUGCUCAACAAGCUGCUGAGUAGCAAUCCCAGCCCCAGGGCCCAGAGCACCUUCCUCUGGGAGUCCAGCCCCAGGACUGUGCUCUGCCUGCCCCUACUGCACAGGCCUCAGAGCCACCCACCUCAACUCUGAUUCAGCCACAGUCAGAAGCAAAGUGCAGUGGCACAAUCAUGGCUCACUGCAACCUCAACCCCCUGGGCUCAAGCCAUCCUCUCACCUCAGCCUCC